RNAcentral lists this transfer RNA (69 nucleotides) under uncultured Gemmiger sp. It matches the Rfam family "tRNA". From Rfam's summary of the family: Transfer RNA (tRNA) molecules are approximately 80 nucleotides in length. Their secondary structure includes four short double-helical elements and three loops (D, anti-codon, and T loops). The record is from RNAcentral. Lineage: Bacteria; Bacillati; Bacillota; Clostridia; Eubacteriales; Oscillospiraceae.
GAGUUUAGCUCAGCUGGUAGAGCGUCUGCCUUACAAGCAGAGGGUCAGCGGUUCGAGUCCGUUAACUCC